CGCAUCUGUGCAUGCAGCAUAUCAAUAAGCGGAGGAAAAGAAACUAACAAGGAUUCCCUUAGUAACGGCGAGUGAAGCGGGAAGAGCUCAAAUUUGAAAUCUUCAAGGUUUUACCUUGACGAAUUGUAGUUUAAAGAAGUGUUUUCUGUUGAAGUUUUGGUAAAAGUUCUUUGGAAUAGGACAUCAUAGAGGGUGAGAAUCCCGCAUUUGACCAUUAUUUUCAGCUGUGUGAUACACUUUCAAAGAGACGGAUUGUUUGGGAAUGCAGUCCAAAAUGGGUGGUAAAUUUCAUCUAAAGCUAAAUAUUGGCGAGAGACCGAUAGCGAACAAGUACCGUGAGGGAAAGAUGAAAAGAACUUUGAAAAGAGAGUUAAACAGUACGUGAAAUUGUCAAAAGGGAAGCGUUUGACACCAGUGUUGUUUUUCUGAAAAUCAAUUAAAGAACUGUUUAUGCUAAGUUGUUUAGACUUUAUCAGCUAUCUGUUUAGUUUUGAGCUUUUCUUUAAUGCACUUUUCAGUUAACAAGUCAACAUCAAUUUCUUUUGCUGUAAAAAAGCUUGAGGAAGGUGGCUUGAGAUUCGUCUUAAGUGUUUAUAGCCUCUUGCCUAUGCAGUCGGAGAGAUUGAGGUCUGCAGCGUAGAUCCUUCGGGGCUAAAUGCAUUUGUGCUAAGUCAUAGCAUUUUAUAGACAACUUGUUGACUAUGAUUUGUCUUGUAGCUUACUCGCUUAUGCUAUUUUACCUACGCUUAGGAUGUUGAUGUGAUACUGCGAGCA
This 774-nucleotide ribosomal RNA is filed under the name uncultured Neocallimastigales. RNAcentral describes it as "partial large subunit ribosomal RNA". It matches the Rfam family "Eukaryotic large subunit ribosomal RNA", at positions 26 to 646 of the family's 3401-position model. The record is from RNAcentral. Lineage: Eukaryota; Fungi; Neocallimastigomycota; Neocallimastigomycetes; Neocallimastigales.